This 243-nucleotide ribosomal RNA is filed under the name uncultured bacterium. Its description in RNAcentral is "partial 16S ribosomal RNA". It matches the Rfam family "Bacterial small subunit ribosomal RNA", at positions 15 to 239 of the family's 1533-position model. The record is from RNAcentral.
GAUCAUGGCUCAGGACGAACGCUGGCGGCGUGCCUAACACAUGCAAGUCGAACGGAACUUCUUUAAUUGAUUUCUUCGGAAUGAUUUUGAUUAAGUUUAGUGGCGGACGGGUGAGUAACGCGUGAGUAACCUGCCUCUAAGAGGGGGAUAACAUUCUGAAAAGAAUGCUAAUACCGCAUAAUAUAUAUUUAUCGCAUGGUAGAUAUAUCAAAGAUUUAUCGCUUAGAGAUGGACUCGCGUCCG